GAUGAACGCUGGCGGCGUGCCUAAUACAUGCAAGUCGAGCGAACAGACGAGGAGCUUGCUCCUCUGACGUUAGCGGCGGACGGGUGAGUAACACGUGGAUAACCUACCUAUAAGACUGGGAUAACUUCGGGAAACCGGAGCUAAUACCGGAUAAUAUAUUGAACCGCAUGGUUCAAUAGUGAAAGACGGUUUUGCUGUCACUUAUAGAUGGAUCCGCGCCGCAUUAGCUAGUUGGUAAGGUAACGGCUUACCAAGGCAACGAUGCGUAGCCGACCUGAGAGGGUGCUCGGCCACACUGGAACUGAGACACGGUCCAGACUCCUACGGGAGGCAGCAGUAGGGAAUCCUCCGCAAUGGGCGAAAGCCUGACGGAGCAACGCCGCGUGAGUGAUGGAGGUCUUCGGAUCGUAAAACUCUGUUAUUAGGGAAGAACAAAUGUGUAAGUAACUAUGCACGUCUUGACGGUACCUAAUCAGAAAGCCACGGCUAACUACGUG
Molecule: ribosomal RNA, 497 nt
Filed under: uncultured bacterium
Lineage: Bacteria
Description: partial 16S ribosomal RNA
Rfam family: Bacterial small subunit ribosomal RNA
Source: RNAcentral